GCAUGGUGAUGGAUUUAUGGCAAGCCCUUCUCUGUGGGCCUCUCAUAGUGAAUCAUGCCAAAGUAAAUGACGGCCUCGAACCAUUGCCCAGCUUCCUUGCCUGUGGGCUGUGAGCACUGAUGAAGGCUGCACAAUA
Molecule: small nucleolar RNA, 136 nt
Organism: Ochotona princeps (American pika)
Lineage: Eukaryota; Metazoa; Chordata; Mammalia; Lagomorpha; Ochotonidae
Source: Ensembl